This 388-nucleotide long non-coding RNA is filed under the name Carica papaya (papaya). RNAcentral's name for it is "long non-coding RNA (CPAP_LNC011680)". The record is from RNAcentral. Lineage: Eukaryota; Viridiplantae; Streptophyta; Magnoliopsida; Brassicales; Caricaceae.
AGACUGAUGGCUAGGGUUUGGGUUUACUAUGAUGUAAAAUAUUUAUACUCGUCUCGCGUUAAUUUUGACCGUUUAUCGUAUUUGAUCUCGGCCGUCUGAUCGCGUUUAAAGAGAGAACGGAUAUGAACCAUUCAUCGCAUUUAAUCACAACCGUCCAAUCGCGUUUGAGGAGGAAUGGAUCCGAACAGUCCACGCGCUUUCGGGUCGUUCGAUCGCGGGGCACGCGGAUCGCUAGCAUGGUUUCCUGUGUGGCACCGAGUCAGUGUGCCUUGCCACGUGGCGUGCUCCAAUUUAUCGAGACUACUGAUGGGGGGUCCUACGUGGCAAAAUUUUUCUUAAUUGCAUUCUGACAUCUAGUUUCUGAUUUUUCUUUCAAAAACACCAUUUG